AUUGAACGCUGGCGGCAGGCUUAACACAUGCAAGUCGAGCGGGGUGAUGGUGCUUGCACUAUCACUUAGCGGCGGACGGGUGAGUAAUGCUUAGGAAUCUGCCUAUUAGUGGGGGACAACAUCUCGAAAGGGAUGCUAAUACCGCAUACGUCCUACGGGAGAAAGCAGGGGAUCACUUGUGACCUUGCGCUAAUAGAUGAGCCUAAGUCGGAUUAGCUAGUUGGUGGGGUAAAGGCCUACCAAGGCGACGAUCUGUAGCGGGUCUGAGAGGAUGAUCCGCCACACUGGGACAGAUACACUGCCCAGACUCCUACGGGAGGCAGCAGUGGGGAAUAUUGGACAAUGGGGGGAACCAUGAUCCAGCCAUGCCGCGUGUGUGAAGAAGGCCUUAUGGUUGUAAAGCACUUUAAGCGAGGAGGAGGCUCUUUUGGUUAAUACCCAAGAUGAGUGGACGUUACUCGCAGAAUAAGCACCGGCUAACUCUGUGCCAGCCGCCGCCGUAA
This 503-nucleotide ribosomal RNA is filed under the name uncultured bacterium. Its description in RNAcentral is "partial 16S ribosomal RNA". It matches the Rfam family "Bacterial small subunit ribosomal RNA", at positions 30 to 523 of the family's 1533-position model. The record is from RNAcentral.